Non-coding RNA from Prochlorococcus marinus str. MIT 9515, 62 nucleotides. The record is from Rfam. NCBI's taxonomy places the organism in Bacteria, Bacillati, Cyanobacteriota, Cyanophyceae, Synechococcales, Prochlorococcaceae.
UUACGUUCAUCCUAAUUGAAUUUACGGACGCAUGACAUGGAAAUAGGGAACGGGAUUUCCAU